RNAcentral lists this transfer RNA (77 nucleotides) under Rhodobiaceae bacterium. RNAcentral's name for it is "tRNA-Pro". It matches the Rfam family "tRNA". From Rfam's summary of the family: Transfer RNA (tRNA) molecules are approximately 80 nucleotides in length. Their secondary structure includes four short double-helical elements and three loops (D, anti-codon, and T loops). The record is from RNAcentral. Lineage: Bacteria; Pseudomonadati; Pseudomonadota; Alphaproteobacteria; Hyphomicrobiales; Rhodobiaceae.
CGGAGCGUAGCUCAGCCUGGUAGCGCAUCUGCUUUGGGAGCAGAGGGUCGCAGGUUCGAAUCCUGCCGCCCCGACCA